CUACGGGUGGCUGCAGUGGGGAAUAUUGGACAAUGGGGGAAACCCUGAUCCAGCAAUGCCGCGUGUAUGAAGAAGGCCUGCGGGUUGUAAAGCACUUUCGGUUGGGAGGACUGCUUCUAGCACUAAUAUUGUUGGAAGUUGACGUUACCUUCAGAAGAAGCACCGGCUAACUCCGUGCCAGGCAGCCGCGGUAAUACGGGAGGGUGCAAGCGUUAAUCGGAAUUACUGGGCGUAAAGCGCGCGUAGGCGGCUAGAUCAGUCGGGUGUGAAAGCCCCGGGCUUAACCUGGGAACUGCAUCCGAUACUGUCUAGCUUGAGUACAGGAGAGGAGAGUGGAAUUCCACAUGUAGCGGUGAAAUGCGUAGAUAUGUGGAGGAACACCAAUGGCGAAGGCAGCUCUCUGGCCUGAUACUGACGCUGAGGUGCGAAAGCGUGGGGAGCAAACAGGAUUAGAUACCCCCGUAGUC
RNAcentral lists this ribosomal RNA (467 nucleotides) under uncultured bacterium. RNAcentral describes it as "partial 16S ribosomal RNA". It matches the Rfam family "Bacterial small subunit ribosomal RNA", at positions 339 to 795 of the family's 1533-position model. The record is from RNAcentral.